UACGAAGGGGGCUAGCGUUGCUCGGAAUCACUGGGCGUAAAGCGCACGUAGGCGGAUUGCUAAGUCAGGGGUGAAAUCCUGGAGCUCAACUCCAGAACUGCCUUUGAUACUGGCGAUCUCGAGUCCGGGAGAGGUGAGUGGAACUGCGAGUGUAGAGGUGAAAUUCGUAGAUAUUCGCAAGAACACCAGUGGCGAAGGCGACAUCCUGGACCGGUAUUGACGCUGAGGCGCGAAAGCCAGGGGAGCAAACGGG
Molecule: ribosomal RNA, 253 nt
Filed under: uncultured bacterium
Lineage: Bacteria
Description: partial 16S ribosomal RNA
Rfam family: Bacterial small subunit ribosomal RNA
Source: RNAcentral